This 120-nucleotide ribosomal RNA is filed under the name Helianthus annuus (common sunflower). The record is from RNAcentral. Lineage: Eukaryota; Viridiplantae; Streptophyta; Magnoliopsida; Asterales; Asteraceae.
GGUUGCGAUCAUACCAACACUAAUGCACCGGAUCCCAUCAGAACUCCGCAGUUAAGUGUGCUUGGGCGAGAGUAGUACUAGGAUGGGUGACCCCCUGGGAAGUCCUCGUGUUGCAACCCC